Molecule: ribosomal RNA, 255 nt
Filed under: uncultured bacterium
Lineage: Bacteria
Description: partial 16S ribosomal RNA
Rfam family: Bacterial small subunit ribosomal RNA
Source: RNAcentral
UACAGAGGGGGGCAAGCGUUAUUCGGAAUUAUUGGGCGUAAAGGGCGCGUAGGCGGCCUGGCAAGUGGAAGGUGAAAUCCCUCGGCUUAACCGAGGAACUGCCCUCCAAACUGCUUGGCUUGAGUCCGGGAGAGGUGAGUGGAAUUCCCAGUGUAGCGGUGAAAUGCGUAGAUAUCGGGAGGAACACCAGUGGCGAAGGCGGCUGUCUGGGGUAUUGCUGACGCUGAGGCACGAAAGCCAGGGGAGCGAACGGGG